CUGCCUGCCUUAGCAGUAUAAAUGCUAAAACUAGAAUGAUAUAGAAGAUUGGCAUGGCUCCUAUACAAGAACAGCACAUGAACUCAUGAAACUGUAAGACUUUAA
Molecule: small nuclear RNA, 105 nt
Filed under: Microtus ochrogaster (prairie vole)
Lineage: Eukaryota; Metazoa; Chordata; Mammalia; Rodentia; Cricetidae
Source: RNAcentral